RNAcentral lists this ribosomal RNA (465 nucleotides) under uncultured Klebsiella sp. RNAcentral's name for it is "bacterial SSU rRNA". It matches the Rfam family "Bacterial small subunit ribosomal RNA", at positions 338 to 795 of the family's 1533-position model. Lineage: Bacteria; Pseudomonadati; Pseudomonadota; Gammaproteobacteria; Enterobacterales; Enterobacteriaceae. The record is from RNAcentral.
CCUACGGGGGGCUGCAGUGGGGAAUAUUGCACAAUGGGCGCAAGCCUGAUGCAGCCAUGCCGCGUGUGUGAAGAAGGCCUUCGGGUUGUAAAGCACUUUCAGCGGGGAGGAAGGCGGUGAGGUUAAUAACCUCAUCGAUUGACGUUACCCGCAGAAGAAGCACCGGCUAACUCCGUGCCAGCAGCCGCGGUAAUACGGAGGGUGCAAGUGUUAAUCGGAAUUACUGGGCGUAAAGCGCACGCAGGCGGUCUGUCAAGUCGGAUGUGAAAUCCCCGGGCUCAACCUGGGAACUGCAUUCGAAACUGGCAGGCUAGAGUCUUGUAGAGGGGGGUAGAAUUCCAGGUGUAGCGGUGAAAUGCGUAGAGAUCUGGAGGAAUACCGGUGGCGAAGGCGGCCCCCUGGACAAAGACUGACGCUCAGGUGCGAAAGCGUGGGGAGCAAACAGGAUUAGAUACCCCUGUAGUC